Small nuclear RNA from Delphinapterus leucas (beluga whale), 107 nucleotides. Lineage: Eukaryota; Metazoa; Chordata; Mammalia; Artiodactyla; Monodontidae. The record is from Ensembl.
GUGCUGGCUUUAGCAGCACAUAUACUAAAAUCGGAACAAUACAGAGAAAAUUAGCAUGGCCCCUGCCCAAGGAUGGCACACAAAUUCCUGAAGCGUUCCACAUCUUU